Molecule: ribosomal RNA, 700 nt
Filed under: uncultured bacterium
Lineage: Bacteria
Description: bacterial SSU rRNA
Rfam family: Bacterial small subunit ribosomal RNA
Source: RNAcentral
CGCACGGGUGCGUAACACGUAUGCAAUCUGCCCUUAACUGGAGGAUAGCCCGGCGAAAGUCGGAUUAAUACUCCAUAACAUUGUGAAACGGCAUCGUUUUAUUAUUAAAGCUUCGGCGGUUAAGGAUGAGCAUGCGCAACAUUAGCUAGUUGGCGAGGUAACGGCUCACCAAAGCUACGAUGUUUAGGGGGUCUGAGAGGAUUUUCCCCCACACUGGUACUGAGACACGGACCAGACUCCUACGGGAGGCAGCAGUAGGGAAUAUUGGGCAAUGGACGCAAGUCUGACCCAGCCAUGCCGCGUGCAGGAUGACUGCCCUAUGGGUUGUAAACUGCUUUUAUAUGGGAAGAAACCCCUUUACGUGUAGAGGGCUGACGGUACCAUACGAAUAAGGAUCGGCUAACUCCGUGCCAGCAGCCGCGGUAAUACGGAGGAUCCAAGCGUUGUCCGGAUUUAUUGGGUUUAAAGGGUGCGUAGGCGGACUAUUAAGUCAGAGGUGAAAGUUUGCAGCUUAACUGUAAAAUUGCCUUUGAAACUGGUAGUCUUGAGUAUAGUUGAGGUGGGCGGAAUGUGUCAUGUAGCGGUGAAAUGCUUAGAUAUGAUACAGAACACCGAUUGCGAAGGCAGCUCACUAAGCUAAAACUGACGCUGAGGCACGAAAGCGUGGGGAGCGAACAGGAUUAGAUACCCUGGUAGUCCA